GGUCACUGCUAUCGGUGUUCGUCUAAGCCAUGCGAGUCAUAUGUUCUUUGGAACAUGGCGUACUGCUCAGUAACACGUGGAUAACCUGCCCUUGGGUCCGGCAUAACCCCGGGAAACUGGGGAUAAUACCGGAUAACGCAUAUAUGCUGGAAUUCUUUAUGCGUGAAACGGAUUCGUCUGCCCAAGGAUGGGUCUGCGGCCUAUCAGGUAGUAGUGGGUGUAAUGUACCUACUAGCCGACGACGGGUACGGGUUGUGAGAGCAAGAGCCCGGAGAUGGAUUCUGAGACAUGAAUCCAGGCCCUACGGGGCGCAGCAGGCGCGAAAACUUUACAAUGCGGGAAACCGUGAUAAGGGGACACCGAGUGCCAGCAUCAUAUGCUGGCUGUCCGGGUGUGUAAAAUACACCUGUUAGCAAGGGCCGGGCAAGACCGGUGCCAGCCGCCGCGGUAACACCGGCGGCCCGAGUGGUGAUCGUGAUUAUUGGGUCUAAAGGGUCCGUAGCCGGUUUGGUCAGUCCUCCGGGAAAUCUGACAGCUCAACUGUUAGGCUAUCGGAGGAUACUGCCAGACUUGGAACCGGGAGAGGUAAGAGGUACUACAGGGGUAGGAGUGAAAUCUUGUAAUCCCUGUGGGACCACCUGUGGCGAAGGCGUCUUACCAGAACGGGUUCGACGGUGAGGGACGAAAGCUGGGGGCACGAACCGGAUUAGAUACCCGGGUAGUCCCGGCCGUAAACGAUGCUCGCUAGGUGUCAGGCAUGGCGCGACCGUGUCUGGUGCCGCAGGGAAGCCGUGAAGCGAGCCACCUGGGAAGUACGGCCGCAAGGCUGAAACUUAA
Molecule: ribosomal RNA, 837 nt
Filed under: uncultured archaeon
Lineage: Archaea
Description: bacterial SSU rRNA
Rfam family: Archaeal small subunit ribosomal RNA
Source: RNAcentral